UUCUCUCUCUCUUCCUCAGCCGCACGGCUAAUUCUCUCUUCUCUCUCCUUCCACUUCUCUUUGCCAUCGUUGGAGGCCACUAUUUUCAGUCACCAAUGCACGACACCGACACCACCAAUCGAACCAGCUAGGAGCUCAAUCCGAUCAAAACCCAAGCCCAGCACCGCCGUGCACCCACUCCUGCCUCCGUACGCGAUCCUCCAAGCUGCUACUCCCUAGCCUUCGUCAGAUUUCGGUUGCCAUCUUGCAACACCUCUGCCAUCGCUUUGAUUUAUUUGAGUACUGAAGGCUGAAGCAGAGGAGAACGGUUAUGAAUUCGUGCUUUUCUUUCUGAGCAUCUUGUGCUUGAAAUUAUUUAAGUACUUGAAGAUUACUACUCUUCUAGCUUGCUAGGCCUGAGGCGUUUGGUUUCAUCGUUGCCUGGAGAAUCGGCCAUUGAUCAAGGGAGGCUUUGCUCGGAAACCGAGGCAUUGUAUCGAAGUAUCGGACACAAGUUUUGUCAAAUAUAAUACAAAUUUUGAAACAUAUGGGACGAGUCUGAAGGAUCAACAAAUCUGUUCAUCAUCUCAACUUGACAGAAAGCUAAAGAUGCAGAGAAUGAGAAAGUACCAUUGAUGAGGUCUGCUACUGGAAGCUGUGCAGAUGUAGAGCCAGUUCCUGCUACAAAUCCUCUUGAAUCCUCCCUGCAUUGCCUCAAGCUUCAGUUAGUUGUGGUUAAACUGUACCAUCAAUUCAUAAUGGAAUUUUCUGGAUGAAUAUUGUGUUGAUGUUAUUGGAAUGAAUACUGCUAAUGGAAUAUUGUAGAUCUUGUUGGAAUUAAUGGAAACCUUUUGGUAUCAAUAUUGGAUGU
This is a long non-coding RNA of Rosa rugosa (rugosa rose), 850 nucleotides long. RefSeq lists it as uncharacterized. NCBI's taxonomy places the organism in Eukaryota, Viridiplantae, Streptophyta, Magnoliopsida, Rosales, Rosaceae. The transcript has 6 exons. The record is from RefSeq and is a predicted model, not a curated record.